UGGUCUCAGGACUACCUGGUGGUGACUGGUCUUCUUUGUUGAGCUUAGGACUACCUGGUGGUGACUGGUCUUCUUUGUUGGUCUUAGGACUACCUGGUGGCGGUGUCCCUGCAGCAGCAGCAGGGCGGGGCCCCGGGGCCCCUCAGUGACCUGGAGUUGGCCCGACAGCUCCAACAGGAGGAAUACCAGCAACAGCAGCAACUCCAACAACUACAACCACAACCACAACCACAACAACAACAACAACCGGGAUCACUGCAGGCAGCACAACAAGUCAGAGGUCAGGGGUCACAGCAGGGCGGAGCCAGGAGGAGAGAGAAGGACUCAGACUGUGUCGUCCUAUAAACUCUUCAUCAUCAUCAUCAUCAUCAUCAUCAUCAUCAUCUAUGAUCAACCAACCAAACUCCACGAGGGAGGAGGUCACACACACACACUCAGCUCGAUGCCAAACCCCAGUGCUUUGUUGUUGAACAGUUGGUUUUAGACGUGAUUCUAAUGUUUGUAGAGAUGUGAUGAAUGAAAGAGGAGUCUGGAGUAAACUGUCUAAUGAAGGGUUAAUAAGUUCUAACAGCUUUAUUAAUGGCCAAUAAAUGAUUCACUGAAGCUUAACGGAUCGGCUGUAAACCGUCGAUAACAAGUUUAGAGCUGAAACAAUAAAACUACGAGCUGUUUGUUUGAGCGUCCUCACUGAGGGCAAGUCCUGUCACUUUAGUCAUUAAUAAGAUAAUUAGAUAUCAAUCCUGCAGGUUUAAAGGUUAAUGAAGUCAUUCAUACAUAUUAUAAAAUGUCCAAUUGAUCUAAACGGUUAAAACGACUGAAGGAUGAUUAAUAAUAAUAAUAAUAAUAGUGUGUUAUAACUGAUCUUUAAAGGAAGUUCUGUUAUUAAAGCUGUUAUAUACACAAAUAUGUAUAUAUAUAUAGGUGUUAUAACUGAUCUAUAAAGGAAGCUGUUCUCUGUUAUUACAGCUGUUAGUGGCAUCGUUCUCAGAGAGCGAUAUCUUGUCCAUAAGGAGGGAACCCGGUGAAGAAUCCGUUAACUGAAUCUUUAUCUUCUUGUGACGAGUUUCAGCAGAAGAGUUCUCCUUCCUGUUUCACUUCUAAAUGUCCGAAUAUUUACCGAACUUUAAACCGUUAGAUACACAGACGUGAGUCUGUUCAGCUUUAUACUCAUUUCUGUUUUCCAGCAGGUUUUUAUUUUUAUUUGUUUUACAUUUAAUCCUCAUCUGAUUUCAAGCUGUUGUGUUUAAAACAUGUGAUCAGAUUUAUUGGUUAUUGGUAUUUAAACUACACAAAACUCAGUUUAUUUACAGACUUGUAGAAUAAGAGAAACAAACAGCAAAGAGAACUUCACUUUGAUGUAGUUACAUGUAAUUCUAAAUGAAUUAAAAGGUUUAAUUACGCCAAGUGUUUUUCCUUCUUCACCAAAACAGUUUAAUAAAAACAUUAAUAUUUAAUAACAAAAUCCCAAGAUAUACAUUUAAAAAUAAAUUAACGUCUGAUUACGACUCGUCUCUCAGGUUCGAUCCUUCUGUUCACUGCAGAGAUUGUUGUUAUCAUUAUCUUCAUCUUGUAUGGAAGCCCGAAGAUGUCAGGAAAAUAAGAGAGGAAAUGUUAAACAUGAAAAUACUUACAAGUUUUAUAGUCUUGUCCCGAGUCAACAUGUUGACUCAUAUUAAGUCUUAAAUAUGAAAUAUAAAGUGCAACAUGUUGACCGAGUGCCUUUAAAAAGUCUAAAUGUACUCACGUCAUAGUUUUGUCCUGAAUCAAUAUUUUGAGUUACUAAGUCAAAUAAUGUUGAUUUCAUUCACAUUCGUCUUCGCUCAUAUUUAUGACUUAAACCUAAAACAAUGUAAACCUUAUAAUUUAAACUAAUUAUUCAGCGAGUUACAUUUACGAUGGACUCUUCUGGGCUUCUGUACUUUUUAAAACCUGCUGCGGGAACAAAACUGAGGAGUGAAACCAGACAAAGUGACCUGAAAGCACAUGUUGGACUGAGACCACGUUGUACCUGUGCUCGUGAGACCUGAGGAGUCCUCAGGAGACCUGGUGAGACCUCUUAAACUGAAUAAUAAAAGUGUUGUUUUUUUCUCUAAUCAUUAAAACUUUCCCAUCAUGCAUCACUCUGUGUUUUCGGGGGCGUCGCCGGUACUUCCUGUUGUCGUCCGGUGUUUUUAAAACGCGUCUGUUGAAGCUUGUAUUUAAUUUGUCAUGAUGUCGAAUUAUCAGUAAAAACAAAAUCCAACUCA
This is a long non-coding RNA of Anarrhichthys ocellatus (wolf-eel), 2246 nucleotides long. RefSeq lists it as uncharacterized. Lineage: Eukaryota; Metazoa; Chordata; Actinopteri; Perciformes; Anarhichadidae. The record is from RefSeq and is a predicted model, not a curated record. The transcript is spliced from 2 exons.